GCGCAAUGGGGGAACCCUGACGCAGCAACGCCGCGUGAGUGAUGAAGGCCUUCGGGUCGUAAAGCUCUGUCAGAGGGGAAGAAAUGCAGGGGUGCUAAUAUCAUCUUUGCUUGACGGUACCCUCAAAGGAAGCACCGGCUAACUCCGUGCCAGCAGCCGCGGUAAUACGGAGGGUGCGAGCGUUGUUCGGAAUUAUUGGGCGUAAAGCGCGUGUAGGCGGUUUGGUAAGUCUGAUGUGAAAGCCCCGGGCUCAACCUGGGAAGUGCAUUGGAAACUGUCAGACUUGAAUACGGGAGAGGGUAGUGGAAUUCCUAGUGUAGGAGUGAAAUCCGUAGAUAUUAGGAGGAACACCGGUGGCGAAGGCGGCUACCUGGACCGAUAUUGACGCUGAGACGCGAAAGCGUGGGGAGCAAACAGGAUUAGAUACCCUGGUAGUCCACGCCGUAAACGAUGAGUACUAGGUGUUGCGGGUAUUGACCCCUGCAGUGCCGCAGCUAACGCAUUAAGUACUCCGCCUGGGAAGUACGGUCGCAAGACUAAAACUCAAAUGAAUUGACGG
RNAcentral lists this ribosomal RNA (559 nucleotides) under uncultured bacterium. Its description in RNAcentral is "bacterial SSU rRNA". It matches the Rfam family "Bacterial small subunit ribosomal RNA", at positions 366 to 916 of the family's 1533-position model. The record is from RNAcentral.